CGGGGCGUAGCGCAGCUUGGCUAGCGCGCUUGGUUCGGGACCAAGAGGUCGACGGUUCGAAUCCGUCCGCCCCGACCA
RNAcentral lists this transfer RNA (78 nucleotides) under Candidatus Omnitrophota bacterium. RNAcentral describes it as "Candidatus Omnitrophica bacterium (aquatic metagenome) tRNA-Pro". It matches the Rfam family "tRNA". Rfam says of the family: Transfer RNA (tRNA) molecules are approximately 80 nucleotides in length. Their secondary structure includes four short double-helical elements and three loops (D, anti-codon, and T loops). The record is from RNAcentral. Lineage: Bacteria; Pseudomonadati; Candidatus Omnitrophota.